RNAcentral lists this ribosomal RNA (520 nucleotides) under uncultured Archaeospora. RNAcentral describes it as "SSU rRNA". It matches the Rfam family "Eukaryotic small subunit ribosomal RNA", at positions 569 to 1091 of the family's 1831-position model. Lineage: Eukaryota; Fungi; Glomeromycota; Glomeromycetes; Archaeosporales; Archaeosporaceae. The record is from RNAcentral.
AGCAGCCGCGGUAAUUCCAGCUCCAAUAGCGUAUAUUAAAGUUGUUGCAGUUAAAAAGCUCGUAGUUGAAUUUUAGGCCUGGCCAGGCGGUCCGUCUUUGGCGAGUACUGUCUUGUUGUCGGGUCUUCCUUCUGGUGAACCAGUAUGCCCUUUAUUGGGUGUGUUGGGGAGCCAGGACCAUUACCUUGAAAAAAUUUAGAGUGUUUAAAGCGGGCUAUUGCUUGAAUAGAUUAGCAUGGAAUAAUAGAAUAGGACGUUGUGGUUCUAUUUUGUUGGUUUCUAGGACCACCGUAAUGAUUAAUAGGGAUAGUUGGGGGCAUUAGUAUUCAAUUGUCAGAGGUGAAAUUCUUGGAUUUAUUGAAGACUAACUAUUGCGAAAGCAUUUGCCAAGGAUGUUUUCAUUAAUCAAGAACGAAAGUUAGGGGAUCGAAGACGAUCAGAUACCGUCGUAGUCUUAACCAUAAACUAUGCCGACUAGGAAUCGGGCGACGUUAUUUUCAUGACUCGCUCGGCGCCUUAU